This 229-nucleotide ribosomal RNA is filed under the name uncultured bacterium. RNAcentral describes it as "partial 16S ribosomal RNA". It matches the Rfam family "Bacterial small subunit ribosomal RNA", at positions 568 to 796 of the family's 1533-position model. The record is from RNAcentral.
UGCGUAGGCGGAAUAUUAAGUCAGUGGUGAAAUCCUGCGGCUCAACCGUAGAACUGCCAUUGAUACUGAUAUUCUUGAAUGUAGUUGAGGUAGGCGGAAUGUGUAAUGUAGCGGUGAAAUGCUUAGAUAUUACACAGAACACUGAUUGCGAAGGCAGCUUACUAAACUAUGAUUGACGCUGAGGCACGAAAGCGUGGGGAGCGAACAGGAUUAGAUACCCUGGUAGUCC